CCUGACACCCCAUCUGCCCUCA
RNAcentral lists this microRNA (22 nucleotides) under Homo sapiens (human). Its description in RNAcentral is "hsa-miR-6730-3p". Lineage: Eukaryota; Metazoa; Chordata; Mammalia; Primates; Hominidae. The record is from miRBase by way of RNAcentral.